RNAcentral lists this non-coding RNA (93 nucleotides) under Massilioclostridium coli. RNAcentral describes it as "SAM riboswitch (S box leader)". It matches the Rfam family "SAM riboswitch aptamer (S box leader)". Rfam says of the family: The SAM riboswitch is found upstream of a number of genes which code for proteins involved in methionine or cysteine biosynthesis in Gram-positive bacteria. The SAM riboswitch acts at the level of transcription termination control. Lineage: Bacteria; Bacillati; Bacillota; Clostridia; Eubacteriales; Clostridiaceae. The record is from RNAcentral.
CUUAUCAAGAGUGGUGGAGGUACCGGGACCUAUGAAGCCACGGCAACCUUUUCAGUAAGGUGCCAAUUCCUGCGGUUUUUUCCGAGAGAUAAG